Parasteatoda tepidariorum (common house spider) is the source of this 575-nucleotide long non-coding RNA. Lineage: Eukaryota; Metazoa; Arthropoda; Arachnida; Araneae; Theridiidae. The record is from RefSeq and is a predicted model, not a curated record.
UUCUUUACAUAAUUUAUUAGGCUACGAAUAAAUUUAAAUUAAGAGAGUUAAAAAAUUAAAUGAACAAAUGUUUAAAUAAGCAAAGACUUUCAAUUUAAUUGCAGUAAAAUGCUAUAGGUUAAAAUCAAUUGCACUCUAUGAGAUUAAGAAAAAAAUUUUAAAACUCAUCUUUAAUCAACGGAUUAAAAAUAGUAUUUUUAAGGAUUUUAAACAUUAAAUUUUGGCGAUAAUUUUGGCAACAUUUUUUUUUCAGAAAUCAUUGUUUUUUUAUUUCUUCUUACCUGUUACACCAGUAUUGUGACCGAUGUCUAGGAAAAAAAAUAUAUAGCAUCAAAUAAAUUUUUAAUUUCUCUUCCGAUUUCUUACAAAUACUGGAUUGAUCUAAAAAGAGGCUUAGUUUCAUUAGAUUCUUUGAGCACCAUGAAUUCCUUUACCUUAGUCCUCGCAUUAGUAAUUUUGGCAACUGUUAGUGCACGCCCCGAACCGGGUGUUCACAGAGUCACGGGACAACUUGUUACACGCGUUUACAAAGUUCGAAUACCGGUAACGAAAGGACCUAAUUAUGGUAAGUUAUA